GGCGCACGGGUGCGUAACACGUGAGCAAUCUGCCGGGAAGUGGGGGAUAGCUCGCCGAAAGGCGAAUUAAUACCGCAUGUGGCCAUUCUUCGAGUGGAGGAAAAGCCAAAGCAGCAAUGCGCUUCCUGAUGAGCUCGCGGCCUAUCAGCUUGAUGGCGGGGUAAUGGCCCACCAUGGCUUUGACGGGUAGCUGGUCUGAGAGGACGACCAGCCACACUGGAACUGAGAUACGGUCCAGACACCUACGGGUGGCAGCAGUCGAGAAUUUUUCACAAUGGGGGCAACCCUGAUGGAGCGACGCCGCGUGGAGGAUGAAGGCCUUCGGGUUGUAAACUCCUGUCAUGCGGGAACAAGCAAGUGAUAGUACCGCAAGAGGAAGAGACGGCUAACUCUGUGCCAGCAGCCGCGGUAAUACAGAGGUCUCAAGCGUUGUUCGGAUUCAUUGGGCGUAAAGGGUGCGUAGGUGGUGAUGCAAGUCUGGUGUGAAAUCUCGGGGCUCAACUCCGAAAUUGCACCGGAUACUGCGUGACUCGAGGACUGUAGAGGAGAUCGGAAUUCACGGUGUAGCAGUGAAAUGCGUAGAUAUCGUGAGGAAGACCAGUUGCGAAGGCGGAUCUCUGGGCAGUUCCUGACACUGAGGCACGAAGGCCAGGGGAGCAAACGGGAUUAGAUACCUCGGUAGUCC
This 685-nucleotide ribosomal RNA is filed under the name uncultured bacterium. RNAcentral's name for it is "bacterial SSU rRNA". It matches the Rfam family "Bacterial small subunit ribosomal RNA", at positions 97 to 796 of the family's 1533-position model. The record is from RNAcentral.